Molecule: non-coding RNA, 600 nt
Organism: Camelina sativa (false flax)
Lineage: Eukaryota; Viridiplantae; Streptophyta; Magnoliopsida; Brassicales; Brassicaceae
Source: RefSeq, a predicted model, not a curated record
UAGAACACAAACGUGAUGUGCAUAAAAUCUUAAUUUUCUCAUGUCUAUUACUUUAUUACAAGAGAGCUUGAAACAGAGAUUAAAUUUGAGGAAGGAUGGACGUCUUACAUGCAGAUGAAAAGGUAUAACCAAACUGAUAAGUAUAGGAGGAGAGCCUGAACCACCAAUUGAUUCUGAUGAAUAUAUGAAACUUUACACACAGGACUAUGUGCAAACAACGUCGUGAUUACUCAUUUAUUCACACCAGCUUUAUGAUAAGUACCCUCAAGUAAUUGAAGAAUUUAUACUAUACAAAUGCUAGGUGUUUCCGUCUUUAAGGGAGAAGCAUGAUGAAUAUAUGUUAGAAGAGCUUGUUAAGAGGUGGAAUAACCAUAUAUAAUGUUAUGGUUAGAUGGUUAGCCAGAUUCUUUUAUUAUAUUGAACGUUGCUUGGGUAGAGGCACUCCAAGACUGAGAGAAGUUGGUUUGACAUGCAUCCACCGUUCCACGACCUCGUUUGUCAAGCAAAUUCCUCCUAUAUAUAGGUUAUAACUUCUCACUGCCUCAGCACCUUUUUUUGUAACCGUCCAGCAAUUAUUUACCUUAGGUUUAUCGUAACAUG